GGGCCCGCACAAGCGGUGGAGCAUGUGGUUUAAUUCGAUGAUACGCGAGGAACCUUACCAGGGCUUAAAUGUAAGUUGCAUUAGCUAGAGAUAGCUAUUUCUUCGGACUACUUACAAGGUGCUGCAUGGUUGUCGUCAGCUCGUGCCGUGAGGUGUCAGGUUAAGUCCUAUAACGAGCGCAACCCCUGUUGUUAGUUGCCAUCGAGUCAUGUCGGGAACUCUAACAAGACUGCCGGUGCAAACCGUGAGGAAGGUGGGGAUGACGUCAAAUCAUCACGGCCCUUACGGUCCUGGCUACACACGUGCUACAAUGGCCGGUACAGAGAGCAGCCACUACGCGAGUAGGCGCG
RNAcentral lists this ribosomal RNA (350 nucleotides) under uncultured bacterium. Its description in RNAcentral is "bacterial SSU rRNA". It matches the Rfam family "Bacterial small subunit ribosomal RNA", at positions 917 to 1269 of the family's 1533-position model. The record is from RNAcentral.